GUUUUAUUCCAGGUCCUUUCUCCUGCUCUGUGUUUUAUUCCAGGUCCUUUCUCCUGCUCUGUGUUUUAUUCCAGGUCGUUUUCUCCCCCUCCUCCUUUCUCCUGCUCUGUGUUUUAUUCCAGGUCCUUUCUCCUGCUCUGUGUUUUAUUCCAGGUCGUUUUCUUCCCCUCCUCCGUUCUCCUGCUCUGUGUUUUAUUCCAGGUCCUUUCUCCUGCUCUGUGUUUUAUUCCAGGUCCUUUCUCCUGCUCUGUGUUUUAUUCCAGGUCCUUUCUCCUGCUCUGUGUUUUAUUCCAGGUCCUUUCUCCUGCUCUGUGUUUUAUUCCAGGUCCUUUCUCCUGCUCUGUGUUUUAUUCCAGGUCCUUUUCUCCCCCUCCUCCUUUCUCCUGCUC
RNAcentral lists this long non-coding RNA (389 nucleotides) under Salmo salar (Atlantic salmon). RNAcentral describes it as "lncRNA (ENSSSAG00000118345.1)". The record is from RNAcentral. Lineage: Eukaryota; Metazoa; Chordata; Actinopteri; Salmoniformes; Salmonidae.